UGCCAGCCGCCGCGGUAAUACGGAGGAUGCAAGCGUUAUCCGGAUUCAUUGGGUUUAAAGGGUGCGCAGGCGGGCUUGUAAGUCAGUGGUGAAAUAUUGCCGCUUAACGGUAGAACUGCCAUUGAUACUGCAAGUCUUGAAUAUGGUUGAGGUAGGCGGAAUGUGUCGUGUAGCGGUGAAAUGCAUAGAUAUGACACAGAACGCCGAUUGCGGAGGCAGCUUACUAAGCUACGAUUGACGCUGAGGCACGAAAGCGUGGGGAGCGAACAGGAUAAGAUA
This 279-nucleotide ribosomal RNA is filed under the name uncultured bacterium. Its description in RNAcentral is "partial 16S ribosomal RNA". It matches the Rfam family "Bacterial small subunit ribosomal RNA", at positions 506 to 784 of the family's 1533-position model. The record is from RNAcentral.